GUUGAAACACCGGUUCUCGUCUACGAUCACCGAAGUUGAGCAAUGUCUAGCCUGGUCAGUACCUAGAUGGGUGACCACUUAAGAAUAUCAGGUACUGUAG
Acanthosepion pharaonis is the source of this 100-nucleotide non-coding RNA. The record is from the annotation of a GenBank genome assembly. Lineage: Eukaryota; Metazoa; Mollusca; Cephalopoda; Sepiida; Sepiidae.